RNAcentral lists this ribosomal RNA (325 nucleotides) under uncultured bacterium. RNAcentral describes it as "bacterial SSU rRNA". It matches the Rfam family "Bacterial small subunit ribosomal RNA", at positions 28 to 334 of the family's 1533-position model. The record is from RNAcentral.
GAUGAACGCUGGCGGCGUGCCUAACACAUGCAAGUCGAGCGAAGCGCCUUACUUGAUUUCUUCGGGAUGAAAGUAUUGUGACUGAGCGGCGACGGGUGAGGUAACGCGUAGGAUAACCUGCCUCAUACAGGGGGAUAACAGUUAGAAAUGACUGCUAAUACCGCAUAAGACCACAGCACCGCAUGGUGCAGGGGUAAAAACUCCGGUGGUAUGAGAUGGAUCCGCGUCUGAUUAGCUAGUUGGUAAGGUAACGGCUUACCAAGGCAACGAUCAGUAGCCGACCUGAGAGGGUGACCGGCCACAUUGGGACUGAGACACGGCCCAA